Molecule: ribosomal RNA, 256 nt
Filed under: uncultured Actinomycetales bacterium
Lineage: Bacteria; Bacillati; Actinomycetota; Actinomycetes; Actinomycetales
Description: partial 16S ribosomal RNA
Rfam family: Bacterial small subunit ribosomal RNA
Source: RNAcentral
CUUUUGUGGGGUGCUCGAGUGGCGAACGGGUGAGUAACACGUGAGUAACCUGCCCUUGACUUUGGGAUAACUUCAGGAAACUGGGGCUAAUACCGGAUAGGAGCUCCUGCUGCAUGGUGGGGGUUGGAAAGUUUCGGCGGUUGGGGAUGGACUCGCGGCUUAUCAGCUUGUUGGUGGGGUAGUGGCUUACAAAGGCUUUGACGGGUAGCCGGCCUGAGAGGGUGACCGGCCACAUUGGGACUGAGAUACGGCCCAG